GGCCUAUUAGCCCAGUUGGUUAGAGUGUCGUGCUAAUAAUGUGAAGGUUACAAGUUCGAGACUUAUAUGUGCCA
Transfer RNA from Ipomoea nil (Japanese morning glory), 74 nucleotides. It matches the Rfam family "tRNA". From Rfam's summary of the family: Transfer RNA (tRNA) molecules are approximately 80 nucleotides in length. Their secondary structure includes four short double-helical elements and three loops (D, anti-codon, and T loops). Lineage: Eukaryota; Viridiplantae; Streptophyta; Magnoliopsida; Solanales; Convolvulaceae. The record is from Rfam.